CAGGCUUGACGGACGGUCGCUGCGAGGCUGGCGCCUUGCGGAGGAAAGUCCGGACACCGCAGAGCAGGAGGUCCGGUUGCAAAGCCGGAUGCUGCGGACCAUAUUCCGCGGCAAGGAAAGCGCAACAGAAAAGAUACCGCCCAUUUUGGGUAAGGGUGAAAUGGUGAGGUAAGAGCUCACCGCGCCGUCAGGAGACUGCGGCGGCAGUGCAAGCCCCCUCCGGUGCAAGACCAAAUAGGAGACGAUGGCGCUGCUCGCGCCUGAUUGCCGCCUCCGGUGGCAGCUAAGUCUCGGGUACCGGUCGCCUAGAUGAAUGAUCGUCGCCGCGUCAAGGCGCGGCACAGAAUCCGGCUUAUAGUCAAGCCUGCUUU
RNAcentral lists this RNase P RNA (371 nucleotides) under Lentisphaerota bacterium. RNAcentral describes it as "Lentisphaerae bacterium (anaerobic digester metagenome) RNase P RNA component class A". It matches the Rfam family "Bacterial RNase P class A". Rfam says of the family: Ribonuclease P (RNase P) is a ubiquitous endoribonuclease, found in archaea, bacteria and eukarya as well as chloroplasts and mitochondria. Its best characterised activity is the generation of mature 5'-ends of tRNAs by cleaving the 5'-leader elements of precursor-tRNAs. Cellular RNase Ps are ribonucleoproteins. Lineage: Bacteria; Pseudomonadati; Lentisphaerota. RNAcentral also lists the same sequence under 1 other name. The record is from RNAcentral.